GACGAACGCUGGCGGCGUGCUUAACACAUGCAAGUCGAACGGAAAGGCCCUGCUUUUGUGGGGUGCUCGAGUGGCGAACGGGUGAGUAACACGUGAGUAACCUGCCCUUGACUUUGGGAUAACUUCAGGAAACUGGGGCUAAUACCGGAUAGGAGCUCCUGCUGCAUGGUGGGGGUUGGAAAGUUUCGGCGGUUGGGGAUGGACUCGCGGCUUAUCAGCUUGUUGGUGGGGUAGUGGCUUACCAAGGCUUUGACGGGUAGCCGGCCUGAGAGGGUGACCGGCCACAUGGGGACUGAGAUACGGCCCAGACUCCUACGGGAGGAAGCAGUGGGGAAUAUUGCACAAGGGCGGAAGCCUGAUGCAGCAACGCCGCGUGCGGGAUGACGGCCUUCGGGUUGUAAACCGCUUUCGCCUGUGACGAAGCGUGAGUGACGGUAAUGGGUAAAGAAGCACCGGCUAACUACGU
This 466-nucleotide ribosomal RNA is filed under the name uncultured bacterium. Its description in RNAcentral is "partial 16S ribosomal RNA". It matches the Rfam family "Bacterial small subunit ribosomal RNA", at positions 28 to 506 of the family's 1533-position model. The record is from RNAcentral.